This 255-nucleotide ribosomal RNA is filed under the name uncultured bacterium. RNAcentral's name for it is "partial 16S ribosomal RNA". It matches the Rfam family "Bacterial small subunit ribosomal RNA", at positions 524 to 776 of the family's 1533-position model. The record is from RNAcentral.
CACGGGGGGAGCAAGCGUUGUUCGGAAUUACUGGGCGUAAAGCGCACGUAGGCGGCUCUUUAAGUCGGGGGUGAAAUCCUGGAGCUCAACUCCAGAACUGCCUUCGAUACUGUAGAGCUUGAGUUCGGGAGAGGUGAGUGGAACUGCGAGUGUAGAGGUGAAAUUCGUAGAUAUUCGCAAGAACACCAGUGGCGAAGGCGGCCUCACUGGCCGGAUACUGACCGCUGAGGUGCGAAAGCGUGGGGAGCAAACAGG